Molecule: ribosomal RNA, 301 nt
Filed under: uncultured bacterium
Lineage: Bacteria
Description: partial 16S ribosomal RNA
Rfam family: Bacterial small subunit ribosomal RNA
Source: RNAcentral
CAGUAGCCGCGGUAAUACGUAGGUGGCAAGCGUUGUCCGGAUUUACUGGGCGUAAAGCGAACGCAGGCGGACUGUUAAGUAGGAAGUGAAAGGUCGGAGCUCAACUCCAACAUUGCUUCCUAUACUGGCAGUCUUGAGUAGCGGAGAGGAAGGGGGAACGACACGUGUAGCGGUGAAAUGCGUUGAUAUGUGUCGGAACACCCAUGGCGAAAGCACCCUUCUGGACGCAAACUGACGCUCAGGUUCGAAAGCCAAGGUAGCGAACAGGAUUAGAUACCCCCGUAGUCCCUGUCUCUUAUAC